AUGUGCUUCAAUGAAUUUGACUUUUAUUUCUCUUCUAGUAAAUCGCUUGUCAGGAGAAAUUCCGAAGUACCUGGGAAAAUUUACCAGUCUCACAUAUCUGAAUUUUGAAGCAAACCAAUUUUCGGGCCCUGUACCACCUAAACUUGGGGAUUUAGUGAACUUGG
Molecule: long non-coding RNA, 164 nt
Organism: Hibiscus syriacus
Lineage: Eukaryota; Viridiplantae; Streptophyta; Magnoliopsida; Malvales; Malvaceae
Exons: 3
Source: RefSeq, a predicted model, not a curated record